Long non-coding RNA from Esox lucius (northern pike), 3262 nucleotides. Lineage: Eukaryota; Metazoa; Chordata; Actinopteri; Esociformes; Esocidae. The record is from Ensembl.
AAAAAAUGCAAUAUUGUAUAAACAAGGACACUUUUUAAGAAGGUAAGUUUUUAGAGGCGUGUCUAUUUCACCAUCCUGUUAAGUAGCUUACUAUUUGACGUCUCGUCGUGCGCGGACAAACCGCUACAGUAACAAUCUGUUUGAGCUGCAGUUUGCGAGUCUGCUUAAGUUCACAGCGCAGCCCUACUCAUUAGGAAAUACCUCCCCGGGACGGGUGUGUGUGUGUGUGUAGGUCAGAGAUGACUGAGGCAGAGACUUACUGCAAAGCUCCUGCUGAUUCACGGCUGAAGUGCUGGCUGUGGGCCCACAGACAAACUCCACCUCCCUGGGAUUACUGUCAAGAGAAUGGGCCUUCUGCCGUGUGGAGCCAGCGCCUCCUGGUGGUAGGCUUUGUUCUCCUCGUCCUGACUGCCAUGAUAAUGCUGCUUCUUUGGAAUUACCAUUGCAUCGUCAUCACACACAUCUGCCAAGACCAGGAGGGGAGCUCUGCAUACCCUUUGUGGAAGGACAAGGAGAUCUCAGACUGAAGGCACGUCCAUUGAACCAGAUGACUAGAAGAAAACAUUGCCCAUCACACCACAGAAAUCUCAACCCAAUAAAUGAAUCAAUGCAGCAGUUGUCACAAAAAAGCUGGAUCCCCAGGUAUACAUUUUAAACAGCAAGUGAUUAAUAUUUGAAGUGCCAGCAGAAGAACCAAAUGUAGAGUGGGACAGUCUUCUUCUGGUUGCGCAGUGGACAUGAUUAAAGUACAUGGCCAAUCUGUGUCCGUAUGGUUGACAGUAUUGUUGUAAUUUGAUUUGUGUGGGCACUGCGACUAGGCCAGUAACAGCCUGGAUGGCUGUCUCUUUCUGCUGUAUUGCCAACUUCUUUGAUGGAUGGGUACCAGCCUCAUACCAUAUCAUGAUAUCACAGCCAUCAACAGCCAAAGGUAAAAUACAGGCAUUAUUUUUCAAUAAGAGUAAGAUUAGAUUAGAUUCAACAUUAUUGUCAUUGAACAGUACAACUACAGUACAAAGAAAUGCAGUUAGCAUCUAACCAAAAGUGCAAAUGGAAGAGGACAGAAAUGUAAAAGUGUUUACAAGUAUUAAGUAUAAUGUAUGUGCAAUGAUGUGCAAUGAUGGCAAAUGCAAGUACAAAUGGCAAUUCUAAAUGAGCAGGAUAUUGUUUUAUCCAUGGGGAUUGUCAGUUGGAUUUAAUUACUUUUACACAAUUAACAUUGUAAUGGCUUAUUAUGAUUUGCAUAAUUAACAUUUCCAUUUAUACUGUACUGUAAAUCCAUGCCUAAAAUACACCAACUGAUAGAAAUGGCACAUGUAUAAUUGCAAUUAAGUAGGUUAAUUAGGGACAAUGACUGUCACACAGCAGUUCAUCCAGUUGUAGGGUAUAUAUGACAAAGGAAGCAUACAAUUUCACACAGGAUUAAACAAAAUAUAUAGAAUGUGACCAUUAAUACCCUGUUAAAGUCAGGGUGUGACUUUAAACCCCUUUUAAUCACAUUACUGUUACUAUGUUUUGCACAAAUAUUGGACAAGAAAUAGAACAUAGAAGAUUACAAACUAUUUACAUUUGCAUGUGUAAUAAAAACCUGAAGAUUCAGAAUGGUGUACUCUGGUGGUGCAGUGGUUUGAGCUACUGGCUCCUGUGCACAUGUACUGCUGCAGCAUGGGUUGGAAAAUAACAGUCAUUCCCUGUCACAUAAGCAAAGACAUAACUUUAAAAAUACACACACACAUUGUAAUGCAAAAUACAAAACUGCAUAGACCUCCACACCUCUCAUAAUAGCAAUCCUAAAUUAGUUCCAGUGAAAUAGUCAUGUGCCAUGUGGUAUCCUCUUCACAAUACCCCAUAGAUUUUCUAUAGGGUUAAGGUCAGGCGAGUUUGCUGGCCAAUUAAGAACAGGGAUACCAUGGUCCUUAAACCAAGUACUGGUAGCUUUGGCACUGUGUGCAGGUGCCAAGUCCUGUUGGAAAAUGAAAUCUGCAUCUCCAUAAAGUUGGUCAGCAGUAGGAAGCAUGAAGUGCUCUAAAACUUCCUGGUAGACGGCUGUGUUGACCUUGGACCUCAGCAAACACAGUGGACCAACACCAGCAGAUGACAUGGCACCCCAAACCAUCACUGACUGUGGAAACUUUACACUGGACUUCAAGCAACGUGGAUUCUGUGCCUUUCCUCUCUUCCUCCAGACUCUGGGACUUUGAUUUCCAAAGGUAAUGUUAAAUUGACUUUCAUCAGAGAACAUAACUCAGCAGCAGUCCAGUCCUUUUUGUCUUUAGACCAGGUGAGACGCUUCGGAUGCUGUGUAUUGUUCAAGAGUGGCUUGACACAAGGAAUGUGACAGCUGAAACCCAUGUCUUGCAUACGUCUGUGCACUGACUCCAGCUGCAGUCCACUCUUUGUGAAUCUCCCCCACAUUUUUGAAUAGGUUUUGUUUCACAAUCCUCUCCAGGGUGCGGUUAUCCCUAUUGCUUGUACACUUUUUUUUUACCACAUCUUUUCCUUCCCUUCGCCUCUCCAUUAAUGUGCUUGGACACAGAGCUCUGUGAACAGCCAGUCAUUUUAGCAAUGACCUUUUGUGUCUUGCCCUCCUUGUGCAAGGUGUCAAUGGUCGUCUUUUGGACUGCUGUCAGCAGUCUUCCCCAUGAUUGUGUAGCCUACAGAACUAGACUGAGAGCCAAUUUAAAGGCCUUUGCAGGUGUUUUUAGUUAAUUAGCUGAUUAGAGUGGGGCACCAGGUGUCUUCAAUACUGUACCUUUUCACAAUAUUCUAAUUUUCUGAGAUACUGAAUUCUGGGUUUUCAUUAGUUGUCAGUUAUAAUAAUAAAAAUUAAAAUAAAUAAACACUUGAAAUAUAUCAGUGUGUGUGGAAUGAAUGUAUACAUUAUACAAGUGUAACUUUUUGAAUGGAAUUACUGAAAUAAAUCAACUUUUUGAUGAUAUUCUAAUUUCAUGACCAGCACCUGUAUAUUGUUGAGUUAUGUAUACUGUGUUGCCACUUGCUGAGCCAACACAGAGACGCAUUCCAAGGCUACCCACAGUACAGUAAUGGAACUUUAAAAUUAGAUCUCUCAAUGCAGUUUGGGAAAACCCUGCUGCGCUGCUCCUGAGUAUGGAGGAUGGGAUGAGGCCACCAUGAAUGAGGCCUAUGGCCUGUCAAAAAAACUCUGGGAGCCUAUCUGCAGCUGCUGGAAUAUUGUUUCUUCCUUAUGCCAGAAUUUGAUGUUUUAUACAACACUAUGCGCUCACCCGUUGAAAUGAGAAUACGC